This 253-nucleotide ribosomal RNA is filed under the name uncultured bacterium. Its description in RNAcentral is "partial 16S ribosomal RNA". It matches the Rfam family "Bacterial small subunit ribosomal RNA", at positions 524 to 776 of the family's 1533-position model. The record is from RNAcentral.
CACGUAGGAGGCGAGCGUUGUCCGGAAUCAUUGGGCGUAAAGAGCGUGUAGGCGGCUCGGUAAGUCCGCUCUGAAAGCCCGGGGCUCAACCCCGGGAGGCGGGCGGAUACUGUCGGGCUAGAGUCCGGAAGAGGCGAGUGGAAUUCCUGGUGUAGCGGUGAAAUGCGCAGAUAUCAGGAGGAACACCAAUGGCGAAGGCAGCUCGCUGGGACGGUACUGACGCUGAGACGCGAAAGCGUGGGGAGCAAACAGG